GGGGCAUGAAGCGGCGUAUCGGUUUGAAAAACCGGCAUCGUGUUGCAACACCAACCCUU
Molecule: transfer RNA, 59 nt
Filed under: Boodlea composita
Lineage: Eukaryota; Viridiplantae; Chlorophyta; Ulvophyceae; Cladophorales; Boodleaceae
Description: tRNA-Phe
Source: RNAcentral